GAUGAACGCUGGCGGCGUGCCUAAUACAUGCAAGUCGAGCGAACAGAUGAGGAGCUUGCUCCUCUGACGUUAGCGGCGGACGGGUGAGUAACACGUGGAUAACCUACCUAUAAGACUGGGAUAACUUCGGGAAACCGGAGCUAAUACCGGAUAAUAUAUUGAACCGCAUGGUUCAAUAGUGAAAGAGGGUUUUGCUGUCACUUAUAGAUGGAUCCGCGCCGCAUUAGCUAGUUGGUAAGGUAACGGCUUACCAAGGCAACGAUGCGUAGCCGACCUGAGAGGGUGAUCGGCCACACUGGAACUGAGACACGGUCCAGACUCCUACGGGAGGCAGCAGUAGGGAAUCUUCCGCAAUGGGCGAACGCCUGACGGAGCAACGCCGCGUGAGUGAUGAAGGUCUUCGGAUCGUAAAACUCUGUUAUUAGGGAAGAACAAAUGUGUAAGUAACUAUGCACGUCUUGACGGUACCUAAUCAGAAAGCCACGGCUAACUACGUG
Molecule: ribosomal RNA, 497 nt
Filed under: uncultured bacterium
Lineage: Bacteria
Description: partial 16S ribosomal RNA
Rfam family: Bacterial small subunit ribosomal RNA
Source: RNAcentral